GAUGAACGCUGGCGGCGUGCCUAAUACAUGCAAGUCGAGCGAAUGGAUUAAGAGCUUGCUCUUAUGAAGUUAGCGGCGGACGGGUGAGUAACACGUGGGUAACCUGCCCAUAAGACUGGGAUAACUCCGGGAAACCGGGGCUAAUACCGGAUAACAUUUUGAACCGCAUGGUUCGAAAUUGAAAGGCGGCUUCGGCUGUCACUUAUGGAUGGACCCGCGUCGCAUUAGCUAGUUGGUGAGGUAACGGCUCACCAAGGCAACGAUGCGUAGCCGACCUGAGAGGGUGAUCGGCAACACUGGGAAUGAGACACGGCCCAGACUCCGACGGGAGGCAGAAGUAGGGAAUCUUCCGAAAUGGACGAAAGUCUGACGGAGCAACGCCGCGUGAGUGAUGAAGGCUUUCGGGUCGUAAAACUCUGUUGUUAGGGAAGAAAAAGUGCUAGUUGAAUAAGCUGGCACCUUGACGGUACCUAACCAGAAAGCCACGGCUAACUACGUGCCAGCAGCCGCCGUAA
Molecule: ribosomal RNA, 515 nt
Filed under: uncultured bacterium
Lineage: Bacteria
Description: partial 16S ribosomal RNA
Rfam family: Bacterial small subunit ribosomal RNA
Source: RNAcentral